ACGUGGAGAUUCCGAAAGUGGGUGGCCUUCGAGGUGGCUUCAGAGUAACCCUCCCUUAACCUGCGAAGCUCGCCUUCCAUCUUCUUCGACCUUUUUAUCACAUGAAGAACCUCCUUCUUCAGCCGCUGGAUCGUGGACUUCAGCAGGAUCCCCUGGGCAGAGGAAGUGCCUUGGCAGGACACUGCCAUCGAGAGACAGAGGCGUCAAGGCGCGUCUCAUUGCAGAAAGAAAAAUAAAAAGGGGGGAAGGGGGAGA
This 255-nucleotide long non-coding RNA is filed under the name Elaeis guineensis (African oil palm). Its description in RNAcentral is "long non-coding RNA (EGUI_LNC076419)". The record is from RNAcentral. Lineage: Eukaryota; Viridiplantae; Streptophyta; Magnoliopsida; Arecales; Arecaceae.